GGAUGCGAUCAUACCAACACUAAAGCACCGGAUCCCAUCAGAACUCCGAAGUUAAGCUUGCUUGGGCGAGGGUAGUACUAGGAUGGGUGACCUCCUGGGAAGUCCUCGUGUUGCAUUCC
Molecule: ribosomal RNA, 119 nt
Filed under: Aegilops tauschii subsp. strangulata
Lineage: Eukaryota; Viridiplantae; Streptophyta; Magnoliopsida; Poales; Poaceae
Source: RNAcentral